UAAAGGGCUGCAGUAUAUUGACUGUACAAAGGUAGCAUAAUCAUUAGUCUUUUAAUUGAAGACUUGUAUGAAGGAUUUGAUGAAAUAUGAACUGUCUCUGAUUUAUAAAUAGAAAUUAAUUUUUUAAUUAAAAAGUUAAAAUAUUGUUAAAAGACGAGAAGACCCUAUAGAGUUUUAUAAUUUAUUUAUUUAAUUAAUAAGUAUAUAUUUUAAUUUAAUAAAUAAUUAAAUUAUUAUGUUGGGGUGAUAAAAAAAUUUAAUAAACUUUUUUUAAUUUAAAACAUAAAUAAGUGAUAAAAUGAUCCAUUAUUAAUGAUUAAAAGAAAAAAUUACCUUAGGGAUAACAGCGUAAUAUUUUUUUUUAGUACAAAUAAAAAAAAAAGUUUGCGACCUCGAUGUUGGAUUAAGAUAAAAUUUAAAUGCAAAAGUUUAAAAGUUUUGAUCUGUUCGAUCAUUAAAAUCUUACAUGAUCUGAGCUC
Molecule: ribosomal RNA, 479 nt
Filed under: Euphydryas gillettii
Lineage: Eukaryota; Metazoa; Arthropoda; Insecta; Lepidoptera; Nymphalidae
Description: partial 16S ribosomal RNA
Rfam family: Bacterial large subunit ribosomal RNA (bases 340-479)
Source: RNAcentral